GGCGGCGUACCCAAGCGGUAAGGGAGAGGUCUGCAAAACCUUUAUGCAGCGGUUCAAAUCCGCUCGCCGCCU
Molecule: transfer RNA, 72 nt
Filed under: Candidatus Omnitrophota bacterium
Lineage: Bacteria; Pseudomonadati; Candidatus Omnitrophota
Description: tRNA-Cys
Rfam family: tRNA
About the family: Transfer RNA (tRNA) molecules are approximately 80 nucleotides in length. Their secondary structure includes four short double-helical elements and three loops (D, anti-codon, and T loops).
Source: RNAcentral